CCUACGGGUGGCAGCAGUGAGGAAUAUUGGUCAAUGGACGAGAGUCUGAACCAGCCAAGUAGCGUGAAGGAUGACUGCCCUAUGGGUUGUAAACUUCUUUUAUAUGGGAAUAAAAUGUUCCACGUGUGGGAUUUUGUAUGUACCAUAUGAAUAAGGAUCGGCUAACUCCGUGCCAGCAGCCGCGGUAAUACGGAGGAUCCGAGCGUUAUCCGGAUUUAUUGGGUUUAAAGGGAGCGUAGGUGGAGUGUUAAGUCAGUUGUGAAAGUUUGCGGCUCAACCGUAAAAUGGCAGUUGAAACUGGCAGUCUUGAGUACAGUAGAGGUGGGCGGAAUUCGUGGUGUAGCGGUGAAAUGCUUAGAGAUCACGAAGAACUCCGGUUGCGAAGGCAGUUCACUGGACUGCAACUGACACUGAGGCUCGAAAGUGUGGGUAUCAAACAGGAUUAGAUACCCUGGUAGUC
Molecule: ribosomal RNA, 460 nt
Filed under: uncultured bacterium
Lineage: Bacteria
Description: partial 16S ribosomal RNA
Rfam family: Bacterial small subunit ribosomal RNA
Source: RNAcentral